This 463-nucleotide ribosomal RNA is filed under the name uncultured archaeon. RNAcentral describes it as "bacterial SSU rRNA". It matches the Rfam family "Archaeal small subunit ribosomal RNA", at positions 1 to 464 of the family's 1478-position model. The record is from RNAcentral.
UUUCCGGUUGAUCCCGCCGGAGGCCACUGCUAUCGGGCUCCGACUAAGCCAUGCGAGUCUAGGGGCUCCUUCGGGAGCACCGGCGGACGGCUCAGUAACACGUGGACAACCUACCCUCGGGUGGGGGAUAACCUCGGGAAACUGAGGCUAAUACCCCAUAGGCCUCGGGUACUGGAAGGUCCCGAGGCUGAAAGCUCCGGCGCCCGAGGAUGGGUCUGCGGCCUAUCAGGUAGUUGGUGGUGUAAAGGACCACCAAGCCUACGACGGGUACGGGCCCUGAGAGGGGGAGCCCGGAGAUGGACUCUGAGACACGAGUCCAGGCCCUACGGGGCGCAGCAGGCGCGAAACCUUCGCAAUGCGCGAAAGCGCGACGAGGGGAGCCCGAUGCCCUUCCUUCGGGGAGGGCUUUUCUGGAGCCUAAAAAGCUNCAGGAAUAAGGGCUGGGCAAGACGGGUGCCAGCCG